This is a long non-coding RNA of Triticum aestivum (bread wheat), 2816 nucleotides long. RefSeq lists it as uncharacterized. Lineage: Eukaryota; Viridiplantae; Streptophyta; Magnoliopsida; Poales; Poaceae. The transcript has 4 exons. The record is from RefSeq and is a predicted model, not a curated record.
GAAGCAGAAGGGCGAGACGGUGGACUUCUCUACCUGCGGGUCUCCCAACUAUUGUAUCUACUUGAUUGUCUUCUGUUAUCCAGAUCGAAAUUGUCCUAAGAAUGAGGCAACACUCGGAGGUGGCACCUACACAUGAUCCCUGUCUCUCUUAGAUGUCAAGGUCGUUUCUCUCCAUAUUGUAUACCUCUCAUAGGUUUUUUCCUGGCUUUUACUUUAUGAUGUGUAGAGAUUAAAUGGUAUCUGCUUGGAAUAUUAUUGUAUUUGGCACUAAUAAAUCAUAAAUAAUGGUAUGAGACUAUGAGUAUACUCUUACGGUUUUACUUAAUUUCUACCUCCGUUGAUAUAGCAUAUCUUCUUUGUAUUAUUUCACAGGAUUCUUUGCUAGAAGUUAAAAUAUCCUAUAUAAUAUGGAAAAGAGAUAGCUUAAAUCGGUGCAUGUGUAAUUAACUCCAUAUAUUAUUUCGAGGAAGAGUUCAAUACAUGCAUGUUCUCUCAAAUUAGGUUUCCCUUGGUGUGUAUAUAAAUGUGAUGCUUCCUUCCAUGACUAAACAUGUUGAUGUUAGGUAUGAAUGUACAGUCGAGUCAUGUUUAACAGAAUUGCUUUCUGCAUUAUCAGAUCACCUACAAUUAUUAUUCUUUAUUACAGUCUCAUACUAAAGUAGUCUGAUUAGUCAUAGUAAUUCAUAAAUAUUUCCAGUAUAUAUAGUUCUUAUUCGGUUAGUAGGACUUUUUUCCAAUUGUGAUGUUUGAAACAUUUUCUUAUACUGAUAAUGAUCUAGAAUAAAACAGACCAAUGAUAACUGGUAUGUAGCUUUUGAAGCCACUGAUAUAUACAAAAUAUUAUUUGAGUACAACAGGAGAGAUGCAAUCUUAUGGAUAUUUCCACAUUUGUAAGAAACAUUCAGCUUGGCAAGCGGACUUGACUAGCCAUGUGUAGGACUCAGCCCUGCUGACUUCAAAAUGAUUAGUCAUUGGUGUUUUCUUAAGUACCUGUUAGCCCAAGUGCAUCAGUUAAGUAGAGUGUUAUGUUGAAAAAAGGAAAGAGACUACUCUUUUGUUACUUGCAGUACAGGUACAUGCUAUAACAUAUUACCUUUAUGCUCUCUUUGGAUUUCAGUAUAUGCAUGUGAACAAAUAAGUCACUAAUAUCAAUGCCCAAGAAUUAUUUGUUUGCUAUUCUAAUCGUUCCAGCAGAGAGCAAUGGAUAUAGAAGAAAUAUGUGAACGGUUGUUACAGAGAUUGAACUCUAUAGAUAGCAGCUCUCAUUGGGUGACUGAAUUAGACUCUGACAUGAAUUAUCAUAUUUUCUGGUUCUCUGCUCUAAUCUAAGCUCUAAGACUACAUGAACUACCAUAUAUUCUAAUUUGUUUGGCUACACUACACCGUUCUAACUUGCUGGCUAUGAGCAUCAGAUGUGUUAGACAAAAAAUCAUUGUUAAAUGAAUAAUAGUGCCAAAUGAGAUUCACUAAUCAAACACCAUCGAUGAAGUCACAUUUAUGCGUAGCGAGCCAUGCUUCCUAUCUGUUCUAUGUUAUGUUUCUGAAUAUGUAUCCACGUCAACUGGUCUAAAGUUGCGUAUCUAGAUGAGUUGCAUUUUGUUUAUUUACUAAAAUAUAGCUAUUAUGGGAUUAUUUGGUUAUCAGCUUUAUGAACAAGCAUCCAGUAUAUGCUGCGAGGAGUGACAAUGCAAGACCAGCGCUGUUUUCAUGCACAUUUGCAUAUAGUUUCAGUCAAUAUGAUAGUAAACUUUCUCUCAACGACUCUGACCUUACAAAAUAUUAGGUAUCCUUAGUUCCAAAUAUGGUUUUAAAGGUUCUAAAAUUAUUUCUUUGAUGCCAGGUGCCAUGCUGUGGAGAACAUCUAGCCGCCAUUUACACUUAAUUUCCUCCAUGUUUCGAUCAAGUGCCUCCACUCCUCACCACCUCUUUAUCUAUCAUGGUAGCAGCAAUGGAGGUCUCCAAGGCCACUUCCUCUUUUGGUUUGGCAACCCGCCAGCCCUCCAAAGAGAUUCUUGAGACAUGGCGGUGCCAAUGAGGUGUGCUUCGAUGUGGAUAGCACUGUGUGCUUGGAUGAGGGUAUUGAUGAGCUUGCUGAUUUCUGUGGGGCUGGGCAGGCGGUUGCCGAGUGGACGACAAAGCAAUUGUCACAGUUUCUGGAAUGUGUUAGUUGUUUAGCAUAUAAUAUCUUCCGAAAAACUACUUGGCCUUAUUAUUCUCAGGGCGAUGACAGGGACCGUUCCAUUUGAUGAGGCUCUUGUUGCCUGGAUCUCUUUAAGUAAGCCAUCUUUGUCCCAAGUUGAGGACCGUUUGGAGAAGAGACCACCCAGGAUUUCUCAAUGUUGAUUUUAUUAAGACAUUAAAAGCCAAUAAUACUGAAGUAUUCCUUGUGUCCGGAGGUUUCCGGUAAAUGAUCAAGGUGUAUCUUCACUAAACGGCUGCACGAACGAUCAACAUCUGUGUGCGCCGCUGUUUGAGAGGGACAAAAAAGAGGUUGAUUUGAUAUGGAAGAGCAAGGGAGGCCGGAAGAAUUGUGCACUUCUAUCCUUUCUACUAGCGCAUCAUAGCAUCUGAUUUUUACCCACGUCAUUGGGACCGGCACCCUCACGCCAAGGCAUGAUCACGAUGUAGUGGGAGAAGAUCUGUGGGCUUUUUGUAAUUUACCCAUAGGUUUAACAUUUACCUUUAUUAUAUCAACACCAUCAUAUGCUUCUUAGUUAAAUUUUUGAAAUGUUUAAAUUCAAAUUUAUUGAAAUUUGUUAGGUGUGACAACAUUUUGCAUGCAUAAAAGUAGCCCUAACAAACUAUGUUAUGCCUAA